UUCCGGUUGAUCCUGCCGGAGGUCACUGCUAUUGGGAUUCGACUAAGCCAUGCGAGUCGAGAGGGUUCGGCCCUCGGCUGACUGCUCAGUAACACGUGGAUAAUCUACCCUAAGGCGGAGGAUAACCUCGGGAAACUGAGAAUAAUACUCCAUAGGUCUAAGAUGCUGGAAUGCAUUUAGACUGAAAACUCCGGUGCCUUAGGAUGAGUCUGCGGACUAUCAGGUUGUAGUCAGGGUAAAGACCUGACUAGCCUACGACGGAUACGGGUUGUGAGAGCAAUAACCCGGAGAUGAUAUCUGAGACACGAUAUCAGGCCCUACGGGGCGCAGCAGGCGCGAAAACUUCACAAUGUGCGAAAGCGCGAUGAGGGAAUCCCAAGUGCUUGCACGUAAGUGUAAGCUGUUUCUUUGUUUAAAAAGCAUAGAGAGUAAGGGCUGGGUAAGACGGGUGCCAGCCGCCGCGGUAAUACCUGCAGCUCAAGUGGUGAUCGUUAUUAUUGGGCCUAAAACGUUCGUAGCCGGUUUAGUAAAUGCCUGGGUAAAUCGUGUAGCUCAACUAUACGACUUCCGGGUAGACUGCUAAACUUGGGACCGGGAGAGGCUAGAGGUACUCCUGGGGUAGAGGUGAAAUUCUGUAAUCCUAGGGGGACCACCAGUGGCGAAGGCGUCUAGCUAGAACGGGUCUGACGGUGAGGGACGAAGCCCUGGGGCGCAAACCGGAUUAGAUACCCGGGUAGUCCAGGGUGUAAACGCUGCUUGCUUGAUGUUAGUCGGGCUCCGAGCCCGAUUAGUGUCGGAGAGAAGUUGUUAAGCAAGCUGCCUGGGAAGUACGGUCGCAAGGCUGAAACUUAAAGGAAUUGGCGGGGGAGCACAGCAACAGGUGGAGCGUGCGGUUUAAUUGGACUCAACGCCGGU
Molecule: ribosomal RNA, 915 nt
Filed under: uncultured archaeon
Lineage: Archaea
Description: bacterial SSU rRNA
Rfam family: Archaeal small subunit ribosomal RNA
Source: RNAcentral